Long non-coding RNA from Gallus gallus (chicken), 792 nucleotides. Lineage: Eukaryota; Metazoa; Chordata; Aves; Galliformes; Phasianidae. The record is from Ensembl.
CUACAGUAGAUCCAGUGAAGGCAGAAAGUGGCCAUCUGGACUCUGCAGUGUUAAAGCAGACAAGUGGUAGAAGGUGGGUGCCCGAGGCCAUGUGACACAGAGCAACUGGAAGAAGCGUCUUGGGCAGUGGACCAGACUGGUGGUGCUGUGACCCUCAGAGCUCAUUAGGCUGUUUCUGGAGCAUAUCCCUUUGUUCUGCAAGGCACAGGAUCGUGUACACAGCAGCAGGAGGGGGCUCAGUUUCCUGCUGCUGCUCAUGGGAGGAGGACUUCCCACCCCAGGAAAGAGAAGACCAGGGGAAACUUGAGAAGGCUGCGAUGACACUGGAGGCACAGCUUCAGGGCUUUUAGCACUAUGCGUCACAUUCGUGUGACCCAUGACCAACAUGUAAUGUUGUGCCUGACGCACGUGAAGAGCUCUGCCUCUCUGGAGAGCGUCACAGAGGCUGCAGGGGUCCGGAGCUGGCAGCCCCCUGGGGCAGACGACAGCACCCUGUGACACCUGGUGCGUCAUCUGCAGCUGAGCUCCCAGUAAGGUCAGGCAGGAGACUGAUAAAUGACCCCACCUUGUCAACACCACCGUCAUUAGUGCUGUUAUCACCCUGCGAAUGGGAACGUGAAGGAAUUCAUAUCCCUGCCCUUGCCAAAGCUGGAGAGCAAGUGGGAACAGGAGCUGUGGAGGUGACUGUUCACACCACUUACAUUCUCCUGCAAAGCAGCACAAUGUUUGGUUUGUUAACCAAAGGGAUUUUGUAGCUGAUCAUUAAAUAUUAUUUCAGAUUAAUGGAAUUUA